RNAcentral lists this ribosomal RNA (494 nucleotides) under uncultured bacterium. RNAcentral describes it as "partial 16S ribosomal RNA". It matches the Rfam family "Bacterial small subunit ribosomal RNA", at positions 28 to 507 of the family's 1533-position model. The record is from RNAcentral.
GACGAACGCUGGCGGCGUGCUUAACACAUGCAAGUCGAACGGUGAAGCGCCUUCCUUUUUGGUGGGUGUGGAUGAGUGGCGAACGGGUGAGUAACACGUGAGUAACCUGCCCCCUUCUUCUGGAUAACCGCAUGAAAGUGUGGCUAAUACGGGAUAUUCUGGGUCUGUCGCAUGAUGGGUCUGGGAAAGAUAUUGUUUCGGUGGGGGAUGGGCUCGCGGCCUAUCAGCUUGUUGGUGGGGUGAUGGCCUACCAAGGCGGUGACGGGUAGCCGGCCUGAGAGGGUGGACGGUCACACUGGGACUGAGACACGGCCCAGACUCCUACGGGAGGCAGCAGUGGGGAAUAUUGCACAAUGGGCGCAAGCCUGAUGCAGCGACGCCGCGUGAGGGAUGGAGGCCUUCGGGUUGUGAACCUCUUUCGCCAGUGAAGCAGGCCUGCCUCGUUUGUGGGUGGGUUGACGGUAGCUGAAGAAGAAGCGCCGGCUAACUACGUG